This 483-nucleotide ribosomal RNA is filed under the name uncultured bacterium. Its description in RNAcentral is "bacterial SSU rRNA". It matches the Rfam family "Bacterial small subunit ribosomal RNA", at positions 959 to 1441 of the family's 1533-position model. The record is from RNAcentral.
ACGCGAAGAACCUUACCNACUCUUGACAUCCAGAGAAUUCGCUAGAGAUAGCUUAGUGCCUUCGGGAACUCUGAGACAGGUGCUGCAUGGCUGUCGUCAGCUCGUGUUGUGAAAUGUUGGGUUAAGUCCCGCAACGAGCGCAACCCUUAUCCUUAUUUGCCAGCACGUAAUGGUGGGAACUCUAGGGAGACUGCCGGUGAUAAACCGGAGGAAGGUGGGGACGACGUCAAGUCAUCAUGGCCCUUACGAGUAGGGCUACACACGUGCUACAAUGGCGAGUACAGAGGGUUGCAAAGCCGCGAGGUGGAGCUAAUCUCACAAAGCUCGUCGUAGUCCGGAUUGGAGUCUGCAACUCGACUCCAUGAAGUCGGAAUCGCUAGUAAUCGUGGAUCAGAAUGCCACGGUGAAUACGUUCCCGGGCCUUGUACACACCGCCCGUCACACCAUGGGAGUGGGCUGCAAAAGAAGUGGGUAGCUUAACNU